RNAcentral lists this ribosomal RNA (489 nucleotides) under uncultured bacterium. RNAcentral's name for it is "partial 16S ribosomal RNA". It matches the Rfam family "Bacterial small subunit ribosomal RNA", at positions 30 to 507 of the family's 1533-position model. The record is from RNAcentral.
AUUGAACGCUGGCGGCAGGCCUAACACAUGCAAGUCGAACGGUAACAGGAAGCAGCUUGCUGCUUUGCUGACGAGUGGCGGACGGGUGAGUAAUGUCUGGGAAACUGCCCGAUGGAGGGGGAUAACUACUGGAAACGGUAGCUAAUACCGCAUAACGUCGCAAGCCCAAAGAGGGGGACCUUAGGGCCUCUUGCCAUCGGAUGUGCCCAGAUGGGAUUAGCUAGUAGGUGGGGUAACGGCUCACCUAGGCGACGAUCCCUAGCUGGUCUGAGAGGAUGACCAGCCACACUGGAACUGAGACACGGUCCAGACUCCUACGGGAGGCAGCAGUGGGGAAUAUUGCACAAUGGGCGCAAGCCUGAUGCAGCCAUGCCGCGUGUAUGAAGAAGGCCUUCGGGUUGUAAAGUACUUUCAGCGGGGAGGAGGGAGUAAAGUUAAUACCUUUGCUCAUUGACGUUACCCGCAGAAGAAGCACCGGCUAACUCCGUG